This 61-nucleotide microRNA precursor is filed under the name Pristionchus pacificus. RNAcentral's name for it is "mir-8364 microRNA precursor family". It matches the Rfam family "mir-8364 microRNA precursor family". Lineage: Eukaryota; Metazoa; Nematoda; Chromadorea; Rhabditida; Neodiplogasteridae. The record is from Rfam by way of RNAcentral.
UCUUCAUCUCACGUGCUCUCUCACCGGUCAUAGAGGUGAGAGAGCGUGCGGAAUGAAGAGA